Molecule: ribosomal RNA, 410 nt
Filed under: uncultured bacterium
Lineage: Bacteria
Description: bacterial SSU rRNA
Rfam family: Bacterial small subunit ribosomal RNA
Source: RNAcentral
AUUGAACGCUGGCGGCGUGCCUAACACAUGCAAGUCGAGCGGUAACAGGUGUAGCAAUACAUGCUGACGAGCGGCGAACGGGUGAGUAAUGCUUCGGAAUCUGCCCAUGUAGUGGGGAAUAACCAGCCAAAAGGUUGGCUAAUACCGCAUACGACCUACGGGUGAAAGCAGGGGAUCGCAAGACCUUGCGCUAUUGGAUGAGCCGAAGUCGGAUUAGCAGUUGGUAGGGUAACGGCCUACCAAGGCGACGAUCCGUAGCUGGUCUGAGAGGACGACCAGCCACACUGGGACUGAGACACGGCCCAGACUCCUACGGAGGCAGCAGUGGGGAAUAUUGGACAAUGGGGCAACCCUGAUCCAGCGACGCCGCGUGUGUGAAGAAGGCCUGCGGGUUGUAAAGCACUUUUAGU